Molecule: unclassified non-coding RNA, 238 nt
Filed under: plant metagenome
Description: partial contains small subunit ribosomal RNA, internal transcribed spacer 1, and 5.8S ribosomal RNA
Source: RNAcentral
UUUCCGUAGGUGAACCUGCGGAAGGAUCAUUACUGAAGUGAGUCUUCAUCAUUGAAGCUUCUUCCCAUUGUGCUGGCUUUGACCGUAUGUAAUGUUGGGGAUUAAACGUGGUUGAAAUUUAUUUUAGCCGUCCCCAACAAUUUAUCUUAUCCUUUAUUAAAUUGAACUGAACUCAUUUUGAGAUUACAUAAAAAAUAAUCUUUUAAUACAACUUUCAACAACGGAUCUCUUGGUUCUC